This 1157-nucleotide ribosomal RNA is filed under the name Leptolyngbya sp. GSE-PSE30-01B. RNAcentral's name for it is "bacterial SSU rRNA". It matches the Rfam family "Bacterial small subunit ribosomal RNA", at positions 356 to 1531 of the family's 1533-position model. Lineage: Bacteria; Bacillati; Cyanobacteriota; Cyanophyceae; Leptolyngbyales; Leptolyngbyaceae. The record is from RNAcentral.
GGGGAAUUUUCCGCAAUGGGCGCAAGCCUGACGGAGCAAUACCGCGUGCGGGAGGAAGCUUUUUGGAGUGUAAACCGCUUUUCUCAGGGAAGAUGAUGACGGUACCUGAGGAAUCAGCAUCGGCUAACUUCGUGCCAGCAGCCGCGGUAAUACGAGGGAUGCAAGCGUUAUCCGGAAUUAUUGGGCGUAAAGCGUUCGUAGGUGGCUAAGUUAGUCUGUCGUUAAAACGUGGAGCUUAACUCCAUACCGGCGAUGGAAACUGCUUGGCUAGAGUAUGGUAGGGGUAAGAGGAAUUCCCAGUGUAGCGGUGAAAUGCGUAGAUAUUGGGAAGAACACCAGCGGCGAAAGCGUCUUACUGGGCCAUUACUGACACUGAGGGACGAAAGCUAGGGGAGCGAAAGGGAUUAGAUACCCCUGUAGUCCUAGCCGUAAACGAUGAGAACUAGGUGUUGCGCGUAUCGACCCGCGCGGUGCCGUAGCCAACGCGUUAAGUUCUCCGCCUGGGGAGUACGCACGCAAGUGUGAAACUCAAAGGAAUUGACGGGGGCCCGCACAAGCGGUGGGGUAUGUGGUUUAAUUCGAUGCAACGCGAAGAACCUUACCAAGGCUUGACAUCCCUGGAAUCUUUUGGAAACAGAAGAGUGCCUUCGGGAACCAGGAGACAGGUGGUGCAUGGCUGUCGUCAGCUCGUGUCGUGAGAUGUUGGGUUAAGUCCCGCAACGAGCGCAACCCACGUUUUUAGUUGCCAUCAUUUAGUUGGGCACUCUAGAGAGACUGCCGGUGACAAACCGGAGGAAGGUGUGGAUGACGUCAAGUCAGCAUGCCCCUUACGUCUUGGGCUACACACGUACUACAAUGCUACGGACAAAGGGCAGCCAAUCAGCAAUGACGCGCAAAUCCCAUAAACCGUAGCUCAGUUCAGAUCGUAGGCUGCAACUCGCCUACGUGAAGGCGGAAUCGCUAGUAAUCGCAGGUCAGCAUACUGCGGUGAAUACGUUCCCGGGCCUUGUACACACCGCCCGUCACACCAUGGGAGUUGGUCACGCCCGAAGUGGUUACCCUAACCGUAAGGAGGGGGACCCCUAAGGCAGGGCUGAUGACUGGGGUGAAGUCGUAACAAGGUAGCCGUACCGGAAGGUGUGGCUGGAUCACCUCCU